GGUCAGCUGACACAUCCCGGCCAAUCUCCAGCAGACCCUCCCUCCCAGACCCUCCUACUUCCUGGACAGCAUCCAUGUUGAAGACAGCUUCAACAUGGAUGCUGUCCAGGAGGUGGGAGGGUCUGGGAGGGAGGGUCUGCCAGAGAUUGGCAUGGAUGUGUCAG
Molecule: microRNA precursor, 164 nt
Filed under: Pelobates cultripes (western spadefoot toad)
Lineage: Eukaryota; Metazoa; Chordata; Amphibia; Anura; Pelobatidae
Source: RNAcentral